RNAcentral lists this ribosomal RNA (672 nucleotides) under Micromonospora vinacea. RNAcentral describes it as "bacterial SSU rRNA". It matches the Rfam family "Bacterial small subunit ribosomal RNA", at positions 74 to 763 of the family's 1533-position model. Lineage: Bacteria; Bacillati; Actinomycetota; Actinomycetes; Micromonosporales; Micromonosporaceae. The record is from RNAcentral.
GGCCCUUCGGGGUACUCGAGCGGCGAACGGGUGAGUAACACGUGAGCAACCUGCCCCAAGCUUUGGGAUAACCCUCGGAAACGGGGGCUAAUACCGAAUAGGACUUCUGGCCGCAUGGCUGGUGGUGGAAAGUUUUUCGGCUUGGGAUGGGCUCGCGGCCUAUCAGCUUGUUGGUGGGGUGAUGGCCUACCAAGGCGACGACGGGUAGCCGGCCUGAGAGGGCGACCGGCCACACUGGGACUGAGACACGGCCCAGACUCCUACGGGAGGCAGCAGUGGGGAAUAUUGCACAAUGGGCGGAAGCCUGAUGCAGCGACGCCGCGUGAGGGAUGACGGCCUUCGGGUUGUAAACCUCUUUCAGCAGGGACGAAGCGAGAGUGACGGUACCUGCAGAAGAAGCACCGGCCAACUACGUGCCAGCAGCCGCGGUAAGACGUAGGGUGCGAGCGUUGUCCGGAUUUAUUGGGCGUAAAGAGCUCGUAGGCGGCUUGUCGCGUCGACCGUGAAAACUUGGGGCUCAACCCCAAGCCUGCGGUCGAUACGGGCAGGCUAGAGUUCGGUAGGGGAGACUGGAAUUCCUGGUGUAGCGGUGAAAUGCGCAGAUAUCAGGAGGAACACCGGUGGCGAAGGCGGGUCUCUGGGCCGAUACUGACGCUGAGGAGCGAAAGCGUG